RNAcentral lists this ribosomal RNA (160 nucleotides) under uncultured Erythrobacter sp. RNAcentral's name for it is "partial 16S ribosomal RNA". It matches the Rfam family "Bacterial small subunit ribosomal RNA", at positions 338 to 516 of the family's 1533-position model. Lineage: Bacteria; Pseudomonadati; Pseudomonadota; Alphaproteobacteria; Sphingomonadales; Erythrobacteraceae. The record is from RNAcentral.
CCUACGGGAGGCAGCAGUGGGGAAUAUUGGACAAUGGGCGAAAGCCUGAUCCAGCAAUGCCGCGUGAGUGAUGAAGGCCUUAGGGUUGUAAAGCUCUUUUACCAGGGAUGAUAAUGACAGUACCUGAGAAUAGUCAGUCGCUAACUCCGUGCCAGCAGCC